This 281-nucleotide ribosomal RNA is filed under the name uncultured Staphylococcus sp. RNAcentral describes it as "partial 16S ribosomal RNA". It matches the Rfam family "Bacterial small subunit ribosomal RNA", at positions 81 to 354 of the family's 1533-position model. The record is from RNAcentral. Lineage: Bacteria; Bacillati; Bacillota; Bacilli; Caryophanales; Staphylococcaceae.
CUCCUUUGACGUUAGCGGCGGACGGGUGAGUAACACGUGGGUAACCUACCUAUAAGACUGGGAUAACUUCGGGAAACCGGAGCUAAUACCGGAUAAUAUUUCGAACCGCAUGGUUCGACAGUGAAAGAUGGUUUUGCUAUCACUUAUAGAUGGACCCGCGCCGUAUUAGCUAGUUGGUAAGGUAACGGCUUACCAAGGCGACGAUACGUAGCCGACCUGAGGGGGUGAUCGGCCACACUGGAACUGAGACACGGUCCAGACUCCUACGGGAGGCAGCAGGA